Molecule: ribosomal RNA, 470 nt
Filed under: uncultured bacterium
Lineage: Bacteria
Description: bacterial SSU rRNA
Rfam family: Bacterial small subunit ribosomal RNA
Source: RNAcentral
GACGAACGCUGGCGGCGUGCUUAACACAUGCAAGUCGAGCGAGACUUCGGCCUAGCGGCGAACGGGUGAGUAACACGUGGGCAACCUGCCCCGAGCUCUGGGAUAACUCCGGGAAACCGGGGCUAAUACCGGAUACGACCCCUAGAGACAUCUCUUUGGGUGGAAAGUUUUUCGGCUCGGGAUGGGCCCGCGGCCUAUCAGCUUGUUGGUGGGGUAACGGCCUACCAAGGCGACGACGGGUAGCCGGCCUGAGAGGGCGACCGGCCACACUGGGACUGAGACACGGCCCAGACUCCUACGGGAGGCAGCAGUGGGGAAUAUUGCGCAAUGGGCGAAAGCCUGACGCAGCGACGCCGCGUGAGGGAUGAAGGCCUUCGGGUUGUAAACCUCUUUCAGCAGGGACGAAGCGAAAGUGACGGUACCUGCAGAAGAAGCACCGGCCAACUACGUGCCAGCAGCCGCCGCAGUAA